GGAAGUAAAAGUCGUAACAAGGUUUCCGUAGGUGAACCUGCGGAAGGUCAUUACCGAGUGCGGGAACCCAGUCGGGUCCCAAUCUCCCACCCGUGUCUACCACACCUAGUGUUGCUUUGGCGGGCCCACUCCUCCGGUGUUCCGCCGGGGGGGUCGUCCCGGGGCGCGGUGUGCCCCCGGGGCCCGUGCCCGCCAGAGGCACUCACUGUGAACGCUUUUGUGAAUGCGAGGAUUGUCUGAGUGACGAAAUGCAAUCGUUCAAAACUUUCAACAAUGGAUCUCUUGGUUCCGGCAUCGAUGAAGAACGCAGCGAAAUGCGAUAAGUAAUGUGAAUUGCAGAAUUCCGUGAAUCAUCGAAUCUUUGAACGCACAUUGCGCCCUCUGGUAUUCCGGGGGGCAUGCCUGUCCGAGCGUCAUUGCGAACCCUCAAGCACGGCUUGUGUGUUGGGCCGCCGUCCCCUCGUUUGGAGGGGACGGGCCUGAAAGGCAGCGGCGGCGUCGCGUCCGGUCCUCGAGCGUAUGGGGCUCUGUCACGCGCUCAAGGAGGGGUCCGGCCGGGGCCAUAGCCUCUGAAGGUCAAUUCUUCCAAGGUGACCUCGGAUCAGGUAGGAGUACCCGCUGAACUUAAGCAUAUCAAUAAGCGGAGGA
RNAcentral lists this ribosomal RNA (648 nucleotides) under Thermomyces lanuginosus. RNAcentral describes it as "eukaryotic LSU rRNA". The stretch from base 263 to 416 matches the Rfam family "5.8S ribosomal RNA". Lineage: Eukaryota; Fungi; Ascomycota; Eurotiomycetes; Eurotiales; Trichocomaceae. The record is from RNAcentral.